AUUACAUUCUCUCGGCCUCGAUUUUGGUGUCACAACGUGCUCGAGUCCGAGUGAUUUUAGUGUCUUAUUCUGUGAUUAAUCAUCACUUAUCAUUCUGGAUAGCUUAUGAACGGGCUCACGUCGGUGCUACACAUAAAAAAUAAUGUGGCUACGGUUCACUCUCGUGGUCAGUUCUGGAAACUUUUCUAAAUUGGAGCUUUGACAGUUUUAGAGACCUGCUUCUAUAAAAGGAAGUGUAAUUCGAUGUGAAGGCUCUGUUCUGAACGCUGCAGUACUGAAGAGGCUUGAUGCCAUGAAAGAUCAUUCUUCAUAAUUUCUACUGAGAACUUAUAAAGGCUCGUGUGCCUCGUGCUGACGGAGAUUUGGUUGGCAUCUUGCAACUGAUCUACUUCCAAUAAGUUUCUCUGGACUUUCACUAUACUAUAGGUAGAUCUAUAUACUGUCCCUGAGAGGAUGAUAUUCUAAUGUAACAUUUGGAAAUUUUAGUUGCGUACUUACACAGAAUGCUGCAACUUUAGUUAUAAAUUGCUGUACCAAAAUUUGUUCUUUAUAAACUUUCUUACAAUAAACCAGUAUUACUCGUAUUGCUUAGCAUCGUUUAAGUGUAGUAUUUUAAGUGUCUUUUACAAAGUUUUUUACAAAUACAUUUGAGUGUCUUGGUUCUCAUA
Long non-coding RNA from Macrobrachium nipponense, 668 nucleotides. RefSeq lists it as uncharacterized. NCBI's taxonomy places the organism in Eukaryota, Metazoa, Arthropoda, Malacostraca, Decapoda, Palaemonidae. The record is from RefSeq and is a predicted model, not a curated record. The transcript is spliced from 3 exons.